This is a long non-coding RNA of Solanum dulcamara, 287 nucleotides long. RefSeq lists it as uncharacterized. The record is from RefSeq and is a predicted model, not a curated record. The transcript is spliced from 3 exons. Lineage: Eukaryota; Viridiplantae; Streptophyta; Magnoliopsida; Solanales; Solanaceae.
AGGGACCAGUGCUUCUCCUCCUUCUCCUCCAUGUGGCUAGUUGAGAUCUCGUUUGAAGACUACUUUUGACCAAGAACAAGUUGAGAGACUCCGGAAGGGGAAGGCUCAAAUCUUGUAAGAGCAUUCAAACUUGGUUUCGAGGUAGGUGAUGAAGGCUCAAAUCUUGUAAGAGCAUUCAAACUUGGUUUCGAGGGCAUCUUCAUGCGGCUACUGACAAACCUCGGUGUCACGACCCAAGCCUAGGGCCUAGACGUGACACGACGAAUGAGACACCCGGAGGUACCUCA